Molecule: signal recognition particle RNA, 347 nt
Filed under: Otolemur garnettii (small-eared galago)
Lineage: Eukaryota; Metazoa; Chordata; Mammalia; Primates; Galagidae
Description: Metazoan signal recognition particle RNA
Rfam family: Metazoan signal recognition particle RNA
About the family: The signal recognition particle (SRP) is a universally conserved ribonucleoprotein. It is involved in the co-translational targeting of proteins to membranes. The eukaryotic SRP consists of a 300-nucleotide 7S RNA and six proteins: SRPs 72, 68, 54, 19, 14, and 9.
Source: Rfam by way of RNAcentral
GCAGUGGCAGGUGCCAGCAGUCCCAGCUACUUGGGAUGCUGAGGCGGGAGGCUGGCUUCUGUCCAGGAGUUCUGGGCUAUAGUGCACUGUGGCAACUGAGUGUCCACACUACGUUCAGCAUCACUAUGGUGACCUUCUGGGAUGGUGGAGGGGAGCAGGGGGAGGUGGGGUGGCCAUAGAUUGCCUAAGGAGGGGUAAACUGGCCCAGGUCAGAAACAGAGCAGGUCAAAACUUCCAUGCCGAUCAGUAUUGGGAUCAUACCUAUGAAUAGCCGAUCAGUAUUAGGAUCGUACCUAUGAAUAGCCACUGCACUCCAGCCUGGGCAAUAUAGUGAGACCCCAACUCUA